This is a long non-coding RNA of Cervus elaphus (red deer), 1112 nucleotides long. RefSeq lists it as uncharacterized. The transcript is spliced from 3 exons. The record is from RefSeq and is a predicted model, not a curated record. NCBI's taxonomy places the organism in Eukaryota, Metazoa, Chordata, Mammalia, Artiodactyla, Cervidae.
UCUUCCCAACCCAGGGAUGGAACCUGCAUCUCUUAACAUCUCUUGCAUUAGCAGGCAGGAAGAGGAUGUCACCAACAAGCCAUUCCAGGUGCCCGUCGGCAAGCCCACAGCUUCACCAGCGCUCACAGCGUCCUUGCCUUUCUCUUCCACCUUUCCUCGCAACAAAUGCUAAGCCCAGCAUGGCGAUGGCUGUUCCCCUGCCUUCAAACUCUGGUGACCUUCCCUCUAUGUGCCGCACUCACAAAUUCCUACUCAUUCCUCAGGUUUCUGCUUGGAAGCUCCUCCCUUGAGAAGCUCUCCCUGGCAUCCCUGUGCUGGUGGGUUGUGACACCCAUCACUUGUCUGUGCAUCACCACCCCCCAACGCCCCCAGAAGGCAGGAUUCCUUGCCGAGCCCCAGGUACUGGUAUGAUGCUUGGUCCAUAGCAGCGGCUCAGCAGACACCUGCCGAAUGGCAGAAAGCAGACUCCCUUGGGGGGCGGGGGCGGCGGAAGGGAGGCUUGCAGCCUCCUGACCACGCCCCAGCCUCACCAGCCAAGUCAGGCUGCUGCCUCGAGGCUGGACCACUUCCCCGCAGACCCGGGCCUGCGUUGGUGCUGUCCGCAAAGAACUUUGGUUUGAAAAAACUAAGGCUCUGGGCCACCCACCCUCGGCUGGGGACUCUGAGUGGCCGGAGUUCACAACCAGGACCCAGAAAACCACCGUCUGGAACCGCACCAAGUGUGCCUGGAUGGCCAGCAGACUAAGUAAGGGUUAAAGUCUGAACCAGAGACACACAGCCUGACGGAUCCGCGCCUAAUUGCAGGGCAGGCCAGCUGGAGCCUGGGCCACAUCACAGGCUUCGGGGCUCCUUUCAAGGGUGAGCGGCUCCCAGGGUUCCCCCUGACUCCACCACACAGGGUCACAGAGGGCUCCCUUUGGUACAAAAGACCCCUUGAUUUAUUUCUUCUCUUGUGGCAGCAACGGACAUUCUGCGCUUUCUUCAAACAGGUCUUUUUAUUCCACUGUCUUUGAGAAAAGCUAAUAAAGAAUCAAUUACAAGAGAUACACACAAAUAGAAACUGGUAUUUAUCUAGGCGGGAUGUCUGCUGAAAAGUAAAAGAGACCAUUAAA